GAUGAACGCUGGCGGCGUGCCUAAUACAUGCAAGUCGAGCGAAUGGAUUGAGAGCUUGCUCUCAAGAAGUUAGCGGCGGACGGGUGAGUAACACGUGGGUAACCUGCCCAUAAGACUGGGAUAACUCCGGGAAACCGGGGCUAAUACCGGAUAACAUUUUGAACUGCAUGGUUCGAAAUUGAAAGGCGGCUUCGGCUGUCACUUAUGGAUGGACCCGCGUCGCAUUAGCUAGUUGGUGAGGUAACGGCUCACCAAGGCAACGAUGCGUAGCCGACCUGAGAGGGUGAUCGGCCACACUGGGACUGAGACACGGCCCAGACUCCUACGGGAGGCAGCAGUAGGGAAUCUUCCGCAAUGGACGAAAGUCUGACGGAGCAACGCCGCGUGAGUGAUGAAGGCUUUCGGGUCGUAAAACUCUGUUGUAAGGGAAGAACGGACGGAAGAGUAGAAUGUUUCCGUCUUGACGGUACCUGACCAGAAAGCCACGGCUAACUAUGUGCCAGCAGCCGCAGUAAAAC
This 518-nucleotide ribosomal RNA is filed under the name uncultured bacterium. Its description in RNAcentral is "bacterial SSU rRNA". It matches the Rfam family "Bacterial small subunit ribosomal RNA", at positions 28 to 526 of the family's 1533-position model. The record is from RNAcentral.